UCCUCAUGUCGACAGUGUGAACAUCUCAGACGGAGACAGAGUCUGCUGAGGAACAGUAAGAGCCAAACACUAACCCUACCCUGCCUCCACUAACACACAGUUCAUGUCCACUGCUGAAGGAGCUGCAGGAACAGAUUCACUCUCUGAGGUGGAGUCCUGAGCAGCAGACGCUGAUUAAAGAUGAUCCUGGAUUGAACAUCACAUCCUCUGAAACUCUGCAGCGCCUCCAUCAGUCCAACAAAACCCUCGUCCUGUGAGGAACUACAGACCACACUGUCCUCAGGCUUUUCUACAAGCUUCCACUGAAGGACAGUUUCACUAGACUGCUGAGCCAGAACAGAGUCCAGUUCUACAGUGUCACUGGUCACAAGAACCCAGAGACCAGCAGGACCAGUAUCUCCAUACUGGGAGACAGUCUGGAGACACGAUGACAUCAGAGGUGCUCUUGAUCAUCAUGGAUGAUCUGGAUGAUGAUCAGCUGUCUAAAUUCCAGUGGUUCCUGCAGAAACCCAACAAUGUUCAAGGCCUCCCAGCCAUCACAAAGAGCCGACUACAGACACUAGACAGGUGUAAAACUGUGGAUGUGAUGGUGGAGACUUAUGGACUUCAGAGAGCUGUGCAGGUGACCAGGGUGGUUUUAGAGAAGAUCUCCAGGAAUGAUCUGCUGCAGAGGUUUCCUGCCAGCAGCUCAGGACCAGAAGGUCAGUCACAAGACAAGAACAACAUGAUAUCAUUACAGUCAGAAAGAUGCAUGAUGGUGCUGCUGCAGUUUGAUAGAGUUCAGGUUCUGUCAGAUUUUCCUGAGUCCACAUGUAAGAUCAGUUCCUCUGUAAAAUCUACUGAUCAACCUACUGACUGAAUGCUGCCCCCUGCUGUUUAAACCUUGAUAGAACACCAAAAUUCGUUCUGUAUGAGCUGUGAAAACCAUAGACUGUAUAUAAAGAUGGACGUAGCAUCCGUGAUGUCACCCGUUGGUUUCUGCACUGAGAAAAUGAAGCCCGGAUUUUGCUACUUCCUGGUUGACAUUUUGGAUUUUUGGAGCCAGUGACGUCAACAAGGGCGGAACCGGAGAGCAGUGAUUGGUCAGACUGACUGAGAGCCGAGGACUCUCUGUCCCGCCCUCAUUUACCGGAUCUGCUGUUUACCUGCUGCUGCUAACAAUGGUAGCCUCCAAAAGUCGAGCUAAACUCAACAGCCUUGGUCUGGAUCAUUGGGAACAUCUGGUCUGAUGGACUGAGAGCUACAGAGAACAUGAACAUCCAGCUGUGGUUGUCUGAAGAGUCUUUUCUCCUUCAUCACUGUGAGGAAGAGCAGCACUGAUGUCCUCCUCAUCCUUCCAGUAAUAACAAUAAUGCUGCGUAUCUGCUACAAAUAACAUGGACUUUUUAGAUUGUAUUUCUGCUACAACAGCAGAGAUGAAGUUAAAGGUGAUAAAUGGAACCUGUGAAUAUGAAACAGUGUUGAACAGAUAGUUGAGUCUCUCCAUGACUCUGUCCCUCAGAAACAUGUUUCCACAUUCAUGGAUUAAAUGUGUUUCUUUGUGAAAUCCUUCUAAAUGAUUCCUUGUAAACUUGUUCCUCUUCAAAGAUGGAAGUUGUGAUUAUUCCAGGAGCUAAAUGUGAUGUUUGCGUCUUUUUCCAGUCAAAUGUUGAGAGUGAAAAUCAGGAUGUGGUGUUUCCUCUGAUGCUCACUUGAACUAAAAGCAUUUGAGCUGCACAAAGUGUGAAAUGAGAGAGGAAGCAGUGAAUCUACAAACUGCUGACAGACUUUCACACAUUAUUGUCCAGUGAAAAUCAGGUUUUUGUGCAGCCAGACUUGAUCCUGAUUUGAGUGUUUCAGUCCUGUUCUAGUGAUGAAAUGAGAACUUCCUUCAUCUUUGAUGAAGUAGCAGCUUCACCUGCUGCUCUUUUUGCUUCCAGCUGGAAAAAAAAGCUCAAAGUUAAAGGACACAAAACCAACAGCAUGAAUCCAGAAAUCUGAGGACUUUUAUUUGAGGAUUAAAUACACAUUUAGGGGGUGGAGAGGUUCAUUCAGUUGUAAAGAAAAGAUGUUUCUAUAACUGUUAGGAUUGUUUUUUAAAGGCACUGCUAGCUUAACACUGAAAUUGAUACCACAUACGAGUAUUACAAUAAAUGAUAUUAAUAUCAUUUAUUGUGUAAUAAAUGCAUGAGUUGUGCUUGACCUUUAAGGGAGAGAGAUGGAUUCCAGCAUUAACUCCAGGCUCUGAAGGACUGAAUACAUGAGGGAGACAACCAGGGACAAGUCAAGCUGGAAAGUUUUACAUGUACACACAACAAAUAGAUAAGAGACAUUUGGCUUAGCUUCACAGUAUAUUCCUGUUUCCUUAUAAGGUAAAAACUAAUUGCACUGAAACUGCUAAGUCAAGGUUGUUUAAGGGUGGAAACCAGAACAAUCCUCCCCAUGAGAUACCACCAGUAGCUGCAUCACAUCACAGCUAACACAGGAAUAGACUAACAGGUAGAGAGCAGGAAGAGGGUUCUAGCAGGGUUCUUUUUACAGGAUGCGGUUCUUGGAGAUUGGAUUAAUUGUGUGUCGAGAGACAUGGACAUAUCUGUGCACCACCCAUAGGGAGAAUUAAGUCUAAACCAUGGUUUAUUCCCACCUUUAGCCAAUCACAUUUCAAUAUUUGAAUUCUAUGUUUGUGUUCUGUAACCAAUCACAUUUCAUCAUACUGUAUACAAUGUUGUGUUCAUAUCAGACUUUAUCCUUUUCUGGGAGGCUGUUCCAAACAGAAAAGGUCC
Long non-coding RNA from Amphiprion ocellaris (clown anemonefish), 2762 nucleotides. RefSeq lists it as uncharacterized. Lineage: Eukaryota; Metazoa; Chordata; Actinopteri; Pomacentridae. The transcript is spliced from 3 exons. The record is from RefSeq and is a predicted model, not a curated record.